AAGGGAAAAGGGAGCUGAGAGCUGGUAUGGUUGGAAUAAUGCUACAUGGAGCAGAGGAGCACUGCAUUUCUUUCUCAUUUGCAGAUACAUCGUCCAGCGUCAGAGCUGGACUGGGCCGUGCUGGAGGCUCAUUCUGCAGAGCUCACCCUGCUGCAGUUCAGACCCGGCAACCUCUCCUCCCCCAUUGCACACAGAUAACAGCACCCUGUGCCACACCUGCCCCCAGCGCCCGAGUGCAGCACAUAGGCAAAGUGCAUCCGGACCCAACAGCUGCUCCGUGCAGAAAAAAAACUCGAGCAAGAAAUUCCCCAAAAGCUCAGCCCUUUCUCUGCUUUCUUUUUGUCAAUGGAGUGAAGUCAGCUAAACCACUCGAUUGCACGCAUUCUGUACCGGGCUGCUCACCGUGCCCUCCAUCCCUUUGAACAUUUUUCCCUUCUGAUAAAGGAGUGGGGCUCAUUUAUAACAGCAUUUUGAGCGCUGUGUGUUGCAGCCCCGGAUUUCUGCUUUCUCCUUGUCCCACUGACACGGCUGUCUGAGAACAGUCCACAUUCAAUAGGGGUAUCAGCAGCACAGAGGCAGCAGGCGCCCGCCCCAGCUUUGCUGCAGUGCACCAAGCUCUCCUCCAGCUGGGGCAGAAGGGAGAAGCAGAGGGAGCAGACCGACAGCUCCUCAUCCCAUAGCAUGAAGCCCGUCGGUACAACACACUUGGCACCCGCCGCUCGCCCGGAUGAGCUCAGCACAAUUCAGUCGCGCUGAAGAGCUUGUUAAGCAAUCCCCAGCUUUUCUGCUGACUUCCCCUACGGCUCUGCUAGACGGAGGCAGCGUUGGCACCCAUCCCAAAACUCCGGCGUCACUCUUGGCUCCAAGUCCAUCACCCAGCAUUUGCUCGUCGGCGCGUCGCGGCCGCCGGGUAGGGCAGGCAUGGCCGAGUGGCACCUCUCCUACUGCCCUGAGAGCACCCGCCAGCAUUCACAUCCCCUCCCGCUGCAACUGGGAAAGGCAGCAGCUCUGAGCAUCCCUGCGGUGGGAGGAUUAAACCCGUGCACCACCUCAAAGGGAUUUCCAGCAGGAAUAGGCAGAAAUUCACGUUGGUAGAGGAGGGACAGUGGGGCUGAAGCUGUCCCUGCAUCACUGCCCCUGUGUGUGCCAGGCCCUGCUGCGUGAGGUGCUGCGCAGAAGGGGCUGAUGAAGAGGUUGUAAUCCAAGCUUAAGGACAAACAGCUGCUGAUUCAACAACAGAUGGGAAGGAGGGAGAAGGGGACAGAUUUCUUUCCCCUCCCCCUUCUCUCCUUUCCUCCCCCCUUUUUUUUUUAUAUAUAUUCCCAUUCCCAAUGCAGAAGAAAGGCAACCCUCACUCCCCCCUGAACAAACACUUGAAUGCAGAAAGGUUUUAAUUUGCACAGAUGUUAGGGAAUGGAGCGUUUCCAACAAAACGUUAUGGCCUUUUGGGGAAAUAUUUACUUAAAACUCUUCCUACCUCUUCCCCAUAUAUCUGAGAAAGGUCAGAGAUCCCCAAAUCUGUGACAGUUCUCCUGGGCAGAGGUAAAGAUCUGUUCUGACAAACACAUUCUGCCCCAAGGAGCCCGGCUCCUCCAGCCCUCAGCCCUCAUCUUUCAGGAGAUUUUAACUUCCCAAAGAGCACAGGAGGCUUUCCUCCUUCUCAGAUCUGCUCAUCUGUAGUAAACAUCAGCACUGCAGCACGAGAAAGGGCUCCAGCUCUGCGAGAGGUGAGGAUCCUUGGGAUGGAAGUCAGGUAGCACUCCUCUCCCCAACCCCCUGCUUGGUGGGAAGGAGAGAGGCUUUUCCCUUUUUGCUUUAACAAGAAAGGAGGAGAGUAAAGUCAGCAGUAAUUUUAGUUUUGUUUUUCCCCCCAUUCUUUCUUUGAGACCUCCUGUGCAAAUGAACGCUGUGAUGAAGUAUGCAAGACAGGCUUCCCUUUGGAAAUGGGAGAUUAAAGUACAGGGAUCACUGGAACA
Gallus gallus (chicken) is the source of this 1976-nucleotide long non-coding RNA. RefSeq lists it as uncharacterized. The record is from RefSeq and is a predicted model, not a curated record. Lineage: Eukaryota; Metazoa; Chordata; Aves; Galliformes; Phasianidae. The transcript is spliced from 2 exons.